GAUGAAGAAUGCAGCGAAAUGCGAUAAGUAAUGUGAAUUGCAGAAUUCAGUGAAUCAUCGAAUCUUUGAACGCACAUUGCGCCCGCCAGUAUUCUGGCGGGCAUGCCUGUUCGAGCGUCAUUUCAACCAUCAAGCCCCCGGCUUGUGUUGGGGACCUGCGGCUGCCGCAGGCCCUGAAAACCAGUGGCGGGCUCGCUGUCACACCGAGCGUAGUAGAUUUUCAUCUCGCUCAGGGCGUGCUGCGGGUUCCGGCCGUAAAAAGCCUUAUUUACCCAAGGUUGACCUCGGAUCAGGUAGGAAGACCCGCUGAACUUAAGCAUAUCAAUAAGCGGAGGA
This 336-nucleotide unclassified non-coding RNA is filed under the name soil metagenome. Its description in RNAcentral is "partial contains 5.8S ribosomal RNA, internal transcribed spacer 2, and large subunit ribosomal RNA". The stretch from base 1 to 120 matches the Rfam family "5.8S ribosomal RNA", at positions 35 to 154 of the family's 154-position model. The record is from RNAcentral.